Molecule: long non-coding RNA, 239 nt
Organism: Amblyraja radiata (thorny skate)
Lineage: Eukaryota; Metazoa; Chordata; Chondrichthyes; Rajiformes; Rajidae
Exons: 3
Source: RefSeq, a predicted model, not a curated record
UCUAUAUUGACCUGGUAUAUUGGUGGAAUUAUCGGGAGUCUGGCUCUUCUCCUCGUCAUUAUACUGGCAGUGGUGUGGUGUCAAAGAAGGCGCAAGCCUACAGAAAUCACUGUGACCCCAGUACCUGAGAUGAGCCGUGUUGCUGAAUAUAUGUCUGUGAGUAGGAACACAAAGCAAGAAGAUACAGAGGAAGGUAUUCACUAUGGAUCCAUCUCCUUCCAGCCUAAAGCAACUGGUGG